AUUUUUACAUUAUAACUGAAGCACCAACCCCUCUACUCCUUAUUGUUACAUUAUAACUGAAGCACCAACCCCCUCUACUCCUUAUUGUUACAUUAUAACUGAAGCACCAACCCCCUCUACUCCUUAUUGUUACAUUUUAACUGAAGCACCAAUCCCCUCUACUCCUUAUUGUUACAUUAUAACUGAAGCACCAACCCCCUCUACUCCUUAACUAACAGCACACCAACGUCAUGUAGUGGUGAACUGUGAACAUCAUUGUCGUUUAAGCCACGUGUACCAGUAGUCUGGCAACUCUUCAGUUACUGGAUGUCUUCUGAGAGGAUGACUUACCGGAUGAGAAUAAACGGAUGAAUCCGAGACACAUGUUGAACGGUUAUCAUCACGGACACGGAGGAAGGAUCGAAGGGCUGAUGAAGCCGAUAGCAACGCUCCUCCUGACCAAUGGGCUGCCUCCAUUUCAAGUAACAUUAGGACAUUGAUUGAGGGGACCAAUGAUCAGGCCUCCUCCUCUGUGACGUCACGGUGUGACAUCAUCAUGGCGCGAUGCUGAGUAUCAGAGAAGCUCAGCUAAACAUUUCUACCACACUACUCCACCAUAACAACAACAGCUGUUUUGUUUAACAGUGAUGGUUAUCAUUGAAAUGUCAAAAAAGAGAGAAAACAGUUAAAAGCAAAAAUGGGAAUCUAAUUUACUGUGCAGAGUCCUUGGACCAGACCAGACCAGGGAGUACAGUGGACUACAGUAAUGACCUGUGAAUAAUUUAAUUAGACCCUGAGGUCUGGUCUAUCCACCUAUCAGAACAGCCUCCAGAGCCAUAGUCCUGGGUCGUAUUCAAUAGAAACUAACGGAAAAAACAUACCCGAAACAGGGAUGAAUUAUCCUGAACUGGUCCAAUAAGAAACUCUUGUUUUCAGGGCCUCCCGAGUGGCACAGCUGUCUAAGGCACUGCAUCGCAGGGCUUGAGGCAUCACUACAGACCUGGGUUCGAUCCCAGGCUGUGUCACAGCCAGCCGUGACCAGGAAACCCAUGAGGUGGCACACAAUUCGCUCAGCGUUGUUUGGAUUAGGGGAAGGUUUGGCCGGCCGACAUGUCCUUGUCCUUUCGCGAUAUAACGACUCCUUGUGGCAGGCCAGGCGCCUGCAAGCUGACUUCAGUCACCAGUGGAUGGUGUUUCCCCCGACACAUUGGUGCGGAUGGCUUUUGGGUUAAGCAAGCUUGGCAGGGUCGUGUUUCAGGAGGACGCAUGGCCCUUGACCUUUGCCUCUCCCGAGUCCGUAGGGAAGUUUCAGCGAUGGGACUGUAACUACGGAACUCUUGUUUUCCGUUGCAAACAGCUUUUCUACUUUGUACACUACUGAAUAUGACCCAAGCCAACUGGCCCACACCGGACUGCACAGCUCCGUUUGGCUGGAGGACAAGCUCUGCUGAGAGGGGAAUGGACAUGUGACUGUCCCAAAUAGCACCCUAUUCCCUAUCCAGUACACAAAGUAGUGCACUAAAUAUGGAAUAUGUUGCCAUUUGGGAUUCAUCCCAUGUCUGUCUGUCUGGCUCCCAUAACGAUGGUCUGUCUGGCUCCCAUAACGAUGGUCUGUCUGUCUGGCUCCCAAAACGAUGGUCUGUCUGGCUCCCAUAAUGAUGGUCUGUCUGGCUCCCAUAACGAUGGUCUGUCUGUCUGUCUGUCUGACUCUCAUAACGGUGGUCUUUCUGGCUGUGAAGCUCCCAUAAUGAUCAUCUGUCUGUCUGGCUCCCAUAACGAUGGUCUGUCUGGCUUCCAUAAGGAUGGUCUGUCGGUCUGUCUGGCUCUUAUAACGAUGGUCUGUCUAGCUCCCGUAACAAUGAUCUGUCUGGCUCCCGUAACAAUGCUCUGUCUGGCUCCCGUAACAAUGGUCUGUGUAGCUCCCGUAACGAUGGUCUGUCUGUCUAGCUCCCGCAACGAUGGUCUGUCUGGCUCCCGUAACGAUGGUCUGUCUGGCUUCCGUAAUGAUGGUCUGUCUGUCUUGCUCCCAUAAUGAUGGUCUGUCUGUCUGGCUCCCAUAACGAUGGUCUGUCUGUCUGGCUCCCAUAACAAUGGUCUGUCUGUCUGGCUCCCAUAACAAUGGUCUGUCUGGCUUCCAUAACGAUGGUCUAUCUGUCUGGCUCCCAUAACGAUGGUAUGUCUGUCUGGCUCCCAUAACAAUGGUCUGUCUGGCUUCCAUAACGAUGGUCUAUCUGUCUGGCUCCCAUAACGAUGGUAUGUCUGUCUGUCUGGCUCCCAUAACGAUGGUCUGUCUGGCUCCCAUAACCAUGGUCUGUCUGUCUGGCUCCCAUAACCAUGGUCUGUCUGUCUGGCUCCCAUAACGAUGGUCUGUCUGUCUGGCUCCCAUAACAAUGGUCCUUCUGGCUCCCAUAACCAUGGUCUGUCUGUCUGGCUCCCAUAACCAUGGUCUGUCUGUCUGGCUACCAUAACCAUGGUCUGUCUGGCUCCCAUAACCAUGGUCUGUCUGUCUGGCUACCAUAACCAUGGUCUGUCUGGCUCCCAUAACCAUGGUCUGUCUGGCUCCCAUAACCAUGGUCUGUCUGUCUGGCUCCCAUAACCAUGGUCUGUCUGUUUGUUUGGUCUGUGGAUGAUGGGAAUAACAGUGGAUCUGUUUGUUAGCCCUGAUCUGACAUCUUUAACUCGAUUCAAACGUUUUCUAUUUUCUUCAACAGACGAGCGCUUCAGUGUCCUGGUACUUAUGGCCUUGUUCUACCUUGUUAUUACUCACUCUGUCCCCGAUCCUGUCCCUCUCCUUGUUCUACCUUGUUAUUACUCACUCUGUCCCCGAUCCUGUCCCUCUCCUUGUUCUACCUUGUUAUUACUCACUCUGUCCCCGAUCCUGUCCCUCUCCUUGUUCUACCUUGUUAUUACUCAGUCCCCGAUCCUGUCCCUUUCCUUGUUCUACCUUGUUAUUACUCACUCUGUCCCCGAUCCUGUCCCUCUCCUUGUUCUACCUUGUUAUUACUCACUCUGUCCCCGAUCCUGUCCCUCUCCUUGUUCUACCUUGUUAUUACUCACUCUGUCCCCGAUCCUGUCCCUCUCCUUGUUCUACCUUGUUAUUACUCACUCUGUCCCCGAUCCUGUCCCUCUCCUUGCUCUCUUCUGGGUAUCCACCUCUCCAUCCCACAUAGUUAGCAGAGUGAAUUGGCUUCCCUCUCUUUCGCCUUGCAGUUUUACAGAUCAUCCAUGCUUUUAUAUGGGAUCAAACCAAAAAAGAGGGUGUAAACCAAUGUACACCUGGCAUGAGAUGACACUGAGUUGUGCUUCAGUCGAAGUGCUGUGUCCUUCAGAAACCAAGAGGAUUCCCUUCUAGAACUAGAAGGAGAAAUAGAAUGGAUUCCUUCUAAUUCUAUGGGUUCUCUCCAGGUCCAGGCCAGGUGCUGUCUGUCUGUCUGUCUGUCUGUCUGUCUGUCUGUCUGUCUGGUGCUGCUGUGUUCUAGCCUUAACAUUCCAAGCAGGGUCAUGUGGACCCGCUGAGUAGCAUUCUGGGUAAUUUAGGACUGUGUCAACUAACCUCAGCCCAUGUCAUGUCUCAUAAUAGCCAGGGGAAGAAGAAUACUAAUAAAAAUAUCUGUAAGGCAAGAGAUGGUGUCCCUGUUAAGAUUUACCUUAAGCUAAACAACGGUAAAUGCUUCUACAAUAAAACAUUUUUUUUUUUUAUCAAUUGAAAUAAUUGUUUUGAAGUUUACAAUCUUAACAAAAAGCAGAACUAUUCAAGUCUAUAUCCUAAAUGAUUGUCAAGAUUCUUUAAAGAAAAAGUUACUUCAUUUUUUUGGGUUAUUUGUUCUUUUUUCUAGAAGAGAAGAAAAGUCACGUGAAAACCUCACUAUAAUCAGACAAGAAAUCAGAAUCAUAUUUACUGUGUAUUUACUUCACUUCUUAUUACGUGCCUUAUGAUGUAACGUGUUCAUAAUCAAUAUAGGUUUUAUACGGUGUCUGUCUAUCAAAUCGCACCCUAUCCCCUAUAUGAUGCAUUCAUUUAAAGUAGUGCACUAGAUAGGGAAUAGGGUGUAAUAUGAGACGGACACUAUCCUAUGACAGAUUUGAUUCAUGUAGAGAACUGUGUUUUAUAUGUUGGCUGUAUUAUAUGAUCUUUUUGAAAUGGAAGUUAAUGUUUGGUGCUUUGAGUGCACUUCUUAGAGAAAUGAACAGGAAUCUCUGAAAUGCCACAGUGCGUGUGUGUACCGUGGGCCUCUCUAUCCCUGUAACACAGAAUAAUUAUUUCAAAGUUUGAAGACUUAUUCAAAGUCUUACACUUAUUUGGGACUUGGAUGUAGGCAUGUAUAACGUGCUAUUACUCGUUUUAGGUUUUCAUUCUAGUUUUAUUAGCUCGCUUGGGCAAGCAGUUCUGCAGCAGCAUCCUCAGAAUGCCUUGUUAUUACAAUUUAUUGAAGAAAAUACUGAUUGUUUAACAAAUCUGGUGAGGUCCAAAAAAAAGGGGCUUAGGUUUCAACAGUUAGAAGUGAAGCCAGUUUCUACAGUUAGAAGUGAAGCCAGUUUCAACAGUUAGAAGUGAAACCAGUUUCUACAGUUAGAAGUGAAACCAGUUUCUACAGUUAGAAGUGAAGCCAGUUUCUACAGUUAGAAGUGAAGCCAGUUUCUACAGUUAGAAGUGAAGCCAGUUUCUACAGUUAGAAGUGAAGCCAGUUUCUACAGUUAGAAGUGAAGCCAGUUUCUACAGUUAGAAGUGAAGCCAGUUUCUACAGUUAGAAGUGAAGCCAGUUUCUACAGUUAAAAGUGAAGCCAGUUAGAACAGUUAGAAGUGAAGCCAGUUUCUACAGUUAGAAGUGAAGCCAGUUUCUACAGUUAGAAGUGAAGCCAGUUUCUAAAGUUAGAAGUGAAGCCAGUUUCUACAGUUAGAAGUGAAACCAGUUUCUACAGUUAGAAGUGAAGCCAGUUUCUACAGUAGAAGUGAAACCAGUUUCUACAGUAGAAGUGAAACCAGUUUCUACAGUUAGAAUGAAACCAGUUUCUAUAUUAGAAGUGAAGCCAGUUUCUACAGUUAGAAGUGAAGCCAGUUUCUACAGUAGAAGUGAAGCCAGUUUCUACAGUAGAAGUGAAGCCAGUUUCUACAGUAGAAGUGAAGCCAGUUUCUACAGUAAAAGUGAAGCCAGUUUCUACAGUAAAAGUGAAGCCAGUUUCUACAGUUAAAAGUGAAGCCAGUUUCUACAGUUAGAAGUGAAACCAGUUUCUACAGUUAGAAGUGAAACCAAUUUCUACAGUUAGAAGUGAAGCCAGUUUCUACAGUUAGAAGUGAAGCCAGUUUCUACAGUAGAAGUGAAACCAGUUUCUACAGUUAGAAGUGAAGCCAGUUUCUACAGUAGAAGUGAAACCAGUUUCUACAGUUAGAAGUGAAGCCAGUUUCUACAGUAGAAGUGAAGCCAGUUUCUACAGUUAGUGUGUUUGUAGUGAGCUGAUUACACAAUACACAUUGAGGGACAAUCAGUGGUAGUGUUUCACUCAAUGUUUGAAAGAUGCUGGGGUACCAAAUCGUACCCUAUUCCCUAUAUAGUGCACUACUGUUGACUGGUUAUCAGUUCAUUUUAAAAUACACCUGGAUAGGGUAUAAUGUUAUUCUAACGUACAUAGCCUAUGUGAUACGUACGUUACCUAGGUUCACUUAUUCCUCUGAUGUUGAGGCCCACAACAACCCUCUCAGGUCAUUUCAGGUUUUCCUACAUUUCGCUGUUUUUGAGUGAAGCUGUUUUAGAAAAUCUCCCAUCUCGUUUUCUUUUUAGCUGUAAUCUUAUUUGACUUGUUUCUCAUAUUAUUCAUUAGAGGGUAUUUUUCAUUUGAUCUGCAGUGAUAACGUGUUUUAUUAGAAUAUUUUCUUUAAAAGGUAAAAAACUGGUUAUGGUUGUCUGUCGCUCUGUUUUUCACAACAACAGUUGUUUGUUUUUUUGUUGCUGAAAACCCCUGAGGAUGCGUCCUCAGUAGCAAGCUAUGUUCUAUAUAUAGUGCAGUACUUCUGACCCGGGCACUGACCUCGGCCCAAUGCUGUUGGGUGCAUCAAAAAUAGUGAGGAAUAGUAUACAGGGAAUAGGACUGUGGUGUCUGAGGGCUGGUUCAGACUGUGAACCUCAUAAACCACCAUCCUGGUUAUUUAUGCAGAAGUCUUAGUUUAGCUCGGGUCCAGGGAGUUUAAGUGACGCCCUGGAUCAGAGCUACUGAGCUGCCUCGGUCGUGGUCUUCAUCCUACGUAUCUUUCCGUGGAUUGAUUCUCUCACGUCUCAUAGGCGAUGUUAUUGAAAACCUUUUUCAUUUCUGAAUAGGAAAGAAGCCAGACAUGACUCUAAACCUUUUGUAUCGUCGUGAAAGCGGAUUAUUCUAGAAUGUCUGAAUGUUCUAUGUCUCUCUCUAACCUUCAGAUCGAACCACACGGCGCUCUCUACAUCUCUGUCCCGACUGAAUAGUUUCAAGGUUUGCAAUCCCAAAUGGCAUCCUGUUCCCCAUGUAGGGCCACUGGUAAAAAGUAGUGCACUAAAUGGGGAAUAGGGUGCCAUUUGGGAGGUAGACCAAGUCACAUCUUAACUCAGGCAGCAUAGUUCAGCCAUGAUGAAAGACUUUAUGCUUUUUAUUUCAAUUGUGACUAACAUUUUACAUUAUCAAACGGGCUGAGACACUAAAAUCCUCAUGUUUUUUUUUAAUACUCAAUCGUCACAAACAACAAAAAACAAACCGGACCAAAGUUGAUGUGCCUUUCAUUGAUCUGUUAUUCAUCUCCUUGUUCCAUCCUCCAUCGCUAUUAUUUAAAUGAAAGUCCGUCAUUGCUCAAGACGAGAUCGUUGCUUCCAUCAACAACAAAAAAAUGGAGUCCAUUCCUAGCCUGGUCCAACCAGACUGAACGCUGUGCUCACUACAGAAAUGUAAUGAUAUUAGGUUGGAUACCAGGCUUGCCCAUUUGUUCCCACUUACCCUCAAAACACAAAAAAAAAACCUAACUAAAUGUAACCUUUAGCACUGAAACCAAAGGAAUUGAUUCCUCUAUUAGAACGAACUGUCAUGAUGACAGAGUAGCGUCCUUCGCUGGACCCGGGCUCGAGUCCCACACGGGGCUACCCCUCGAAUUCGCUACAGUAGAUUUGCUUUACCGUUUUGCGUCCAGACUCAGAGAUUCUGAUGAAUGUUUGAAGUGUUUCCUGACAUUCUACCAUUACUUUAAAUCACUGAAUUAUAUGGGAGACAAUUAAGAAGUUCAAUUGAUUUCCUGUUCCAUUAUUAUUAAAGGGAGAGAUGAUACAUUUUAAAGAGGCUUAUAUUUGCACAGCACCUAGUCAGGCCGCAUCCCAAAUGGGACUCUAUCCCCUAUUUACGUUCCCCAAUGAGUGCUAUCUGUAGGCGACGGGGUUCCAUUUGGGACGUAGUAGUAUCUCUUCUGAUCUGAUUUCAUUCUGUUUUUUCUUUUUGUGUUUUUCUUCGUCUCAUCACGGCGCGUCUUGAUAACAGACCUGGGUUUCUAUUCAAUCCGUAUUGGGGAGAUUCGGCCUUAACAUCGCGAUUUCGUUUAAAUGUCAACAUUCCCGCGUUAGUGGAGCUGCGUUCACGGUAAACGCCGCCUGUGUCGGCUCAAUCAGAAAAUGGCCUUUUAAUUUGACCACUUCAGCGAUACAGACUGAAUGGAGACUAAAGCUAAUAGUCCAAUGUUUCACAACCAAAAUAAAACAACAAAUGCUGUAAUCAAACAUGUCCUUUUUUUCCUAGUCUGGCCAAGAAAAAGGUUAAUGAGGCCAAGAUAGCUACAAACAACAACAAGACAUGGACGUUUUAUUUUUUGUAUUUGAAGAUGAGCACAUGAAAAAACAACUUGUCUUGUGUAUUUUGAUAUAAUACCAGGUUUGAUUUGUAAAGCAGUGUGUGUGACGUCGUGGGGAUGGAAGGUUUGGGGUGAGAAACAACAGGUUUCCUUUACGAGUUGAUGUAAUCAGAAUGCAAAUAGAUUAAAACUAUUAAAGAAACAUAUUUUCAAAUUUUUUGCGGUGCAUGGUUGAGUGGAGUUUCUGUAUUUUAUAUAGAAACAUUUUCAUUCAUGUUUUUGAAUUGAUUAUUACUAUGAUUAUCAUAAUCCUUAUUAUUAUAAUUAUUACACCAGAAUCCCAACUAUAAUUGUAGCAUGCCUUGAAUAAAUGUCAUGACCUCUGUACUGUC
This is a long non-coding RNA of Oncorhynchus tshawytscha (Chinook salmon), 8163 nucleotides long. Lineage: Eukaryota; Metazoa; Chordata; Actinopteri; Salmoniformes; Salmonidae. The record is from Ensembl.